Molecule: ribosomal RNA, 402 nt
Filed under: uncultured Mediophyceae
Lineage: Eukaryota; Bacillariophyta; Thalassiosirophyceae
Description: partial small subunit ribosomal RNA
Rfam family: Eukaryotic small subunit ribosomal RNA
Source: RNAcentral
GCUUGUCUCAAAGAUUAAGCCAUGCAUGUCUAAGUAUAACUCUUUUACUUUGAAAACUGCGAACGGCUCAUUAUAUCAGUUAUAGUUUCUUUGAUAGUCCCUUACUACUUGGAUACCCGUAGUAAUUCUAGAGCUAAUACAUGCAUCAAUACCCAACUGUUCGCGGAAGGGUAGUAUUUAUUAGGUAUAGACCAACCCUCUUCGGAGGUGCUUUGGUGAUUCAUAAUAACUUUUCGAAUCGCAUGGCUCCAUGCCGGCGAUGGAUCAUUCAAGUUUCUGCCCUAUCAGCUUUCGAUGGUAGUGUAUUGGACUACCAUGGCAGUAACGGGUAACGAAGAAUUAGGGUUCGAUUUCGGAGAGGGAGCAUGAGAAACGGCUACCACAUCUAAGGAAGGCAGCAGG